Aedes albopictus (Asian tiger mosquito) is the source of this 74-nucleotide non-coding RNA. Lineage: Eukaryota; Metazoa; Arthropoda; Insecta; Diptera; Culicidae. The record is from Rfam.
UGUUCUGUGGUUUAGUUGGUCAAAGUGCCGGUCUAGCGAAUAUAGAGUUGUGGGUUCGAAUCCCACUAGAACGC